RNAcentral lists this long non-coding RNA (1038 nucleotides) under Zonotrichia albicollis (white-throated sparrow). Its description in RNAcentral is "lncRNA (ENSZALG00000004063.1)". Lineage: Eukaryota; Metazoa; Chordata; Aves; Passeriformes; Passerellidae. The record is from RNAcentral.
GUAGGCAGUCUGCUUGGUGGAGAUGGUCUCCUUGGCAGUCUCCUUGGAGAAAAUGGUGCUGUUGGUGGUCUCCUUGGUGGAAAUGGUCUUCUUGGUGGAGAUGGUCUCCUAAGUGGCCUCCUUGGCCAAGAUGGUGUAGUUAGUGGUCUCCUUGACCAAGAUGGCAUCCUGGGUGGCAUCCUUGGCAAAGGUGGUGUUGUUGAUGGUCUCCUUGGCAAAGAUGGCCUUGUUGAUACUCUCCUUGACACCGUCCUUGACCUUCUCAUUGGCAAGAACGGUCUCCUUGGCAGAAACGGUCUCGUUGGCAGCCUCCUUGGCAAAAAUGGUGAAGAACUCAUUGGACUGAAAAUUGUGAACAACACCCUCCCCAAAAUCAGUCUGCGCUCCCUGCCGGGCUUCGGGCACCAGGUGGACUUCAAGACGCAGCUGCUGGUAGAGAGCAGCGUGCCGGGCCAGCCGCUGUGCCAGCAGGUGGAGGUGGAUGCGACCAUCCUGGUCCGGGACACGUGGACGCCUCACCAGAAUGCUCUGAACUGUGAGACUGUUGACAUGAACACCCAUGUGAGACCCAGAGUGCCAGUUCUGGAAGAGCCUUUGAAACGCCUGCUCAGCAAUACCCUGAAGGAUCUGGGCUGCAACAUCAUCAACGCCAAGCUCAAGGUGUUGAGCUCCCUGCUGGGCUCCAGGAACCAGGUGCUCCCCCUCGGGGCCCUGGGGGACCUGCCCUCCUUCUCCAUCCUCAGUGGUGAUGCCAUCCAGGUGGAUCUGAAUCUCCUGUCUGAGAAUGGCAGGGAUGGCGUGAUGCCCCCCAUGCAGGAACUGCCCCUCAGUGCCAGCCUGCAGCUGGCCACUGGCCGCCGGCCCCGGCUCAGCCUCUCCCAGGACACCCUCAGCGCCCUGCUGGAGCAGGGCCAGGGCCAGGGCACCCUCAACCUCAGCAUCACCAGCCUGGCGGGCAGCAAUUCCCCUCUGCAAGGCCAGGUCAGUGUCCUGCCUGCCCUUUGGUGCCCACCUUUGCCUGCUGUGUUUGUGGGGUCC